Molecule: ribosomal RNA, 494 nt
Filed under: uncultured bacterium
Lineage: Bacteria
Description: partial 16S ribosomal RNA
Rfam family: Bacterial small subunit ribosomal RNA
Source: RNAcentral
ACGAACGCUGGCGGCGUGCCUAAUACAUGCAAGUAGAACGCUGAAGGAGGAGCUUGCUCUUCUGGAUGAGUUGCGAACGGGUGAGUAACGCGUAGGUAACCUGCCUGGUAGCGGGGGAUAACUAUUGGAAACGAUAGCUAAUACCGCAUAACAGUAGAUGUUGCAUGACAUUUACUUAAAAGGUGCAAUUGCAUCACUACCAGAUGGACCUGCGUUGUAUUAGCUAGUUGGUGGGGUAACGGCUCACCAAGGCGACGAUACAUAGCCGACCUGAGAGGGUGAUCGGCCACACUGGGACUGAGACACGGCCCAGACUCCUACGGGAGGCAGCAGUAGGGAAUCUUCGGCAAUGGACGGAAGUCUGACCGAGCAACGCCGCGUGAGUGAAGAAGGGUUUCGGAUCGGAAAGCUCUGUUGUAAGAGAAGAACGAGUGUGAGAGUGGAAAGUUCACACUGUGACGGUAUCUUACCAGAAAGGGACGGCUAACUACGUG